RNAcentral lists this unclassified non-coding RNA (483 nucleotides) under Hevea brasiliensis (rubber tree). Lineage: Eukaryota; Viridiplantae; Streptophyta; Magnoliopsida; Malpighiales; Euphorbiaceae. The record is from RNAcentral.
AGCAACAUCUUCAGCACCACUGAAAGCAAUAGCAAUGUCAUCUCCAAAUUUCUCAAGUGCUUUGUCCAUAACCUCAAGAGGGGAAGCAUUUUGAAGCUCCUUAGCCAAUUUCUCAAAGUCCUCUGCCUCAACACUCUCUCCUACCUCAGGAGCCACGAUGGUAGCUGCUGACGGAACUAUUGAAUCAUUCCUCUUAGGUUCAGCAUACAAUGGCUUCACUGCCGAACGCCUCCGAGAAUUCAAAACAGUUGACGACAAUAGUUGAGGCCUAUCCAAUGGCUGAAAGGUACCCAAUUGGGAUACUUUGGGUUGUUCAUAAGAAGAAGAUGAAGAAGACAAAGAGCCAUGAAUUGCAGAUGAAGAAGUGAAAGUCAAAGCCAUUUCUACAACAAAGAGAGAUUAAUUUCACAGAGACAAAGAACAAUUUGUUCCAGCAAAGAAAUUGCUUGUGAAAAAUAGAAGAAGAUGGUGAUGGGAAGAAGU